UACGUAGGGUGCGAGCGUUAAUCGGAAUUACUGGGCGUAAAGCGUGCGCAGGCGGUUUUGUAAGCCAGAUGUGAAAGCCCCGGGCUUAACCUGGGAAUGGCAUUUGGGACUGCAAGGCUGGAGUGUGGCAGAGGAGACUGGAAUUCCUGGUGUAGCAGUGAAAUGCGUAGAUAUCCGGAGGAACACCAGUGGCGAAGGCGGCCACCUGGGCUGUACCUGACGCUCAAACACGAAAGCUAGGGGAGCGAACGGG
Molecule: ribosomal RNA, 253 nt
Filed under: uncultured bacterium
Lineage: Bacteria
Description: partial 16S ribosomal RNA
Rfam family: Bacterial small subunit ribosomal RNA
Source: RNAcentral